ACGCAUCUAGAACAAGCCGUCCAACCAAAAACAGCAACACCACAUCUCUCCCUGUGGAAUCGAUUGAAGAGAAACCUGAGGAAAUAUACACUUUAGGAAAGCGUAUCAUCCUUUUGUGUGGAACAGCCUGAGUCCUUACAGAGACACCACAGAGAUUGACUAUCUGAUCGUCAUGGCCUCUGUCCAUCAUACCCGGAAUCGAAGAGCUUCAGUAAGAACUGUCCAUCUGUCACACUGACACAUCCUGUCCAUUCAUUUGAUGAAUAUUGGACAUUUAUGAUUUUCACACUGACAAACAUAAUGAGGAAAGUAAUGUAUUUAUAAUUUUACACAGCUAAUGAACAAUUAAUGUGCUAAAGCCUACACAAAACUCCUCUUUAUUCGAUUUAAUGACAUUACUGUUUGGGCAUACAUUAUGACUGGCCUUUCAGUAUUUGUCUGGCAAUAUAUUCUUCUUUUAGUCUUUUACAAGCUUUUAAUGUUUUACAAGCUCCAGCACUGAUCACACAGAGUACGUCACAGAGACGCACUGAACAUCCCACUGGCAAAUAAGAUUAAAAAGAAUGACUGUGAUAUAAUUUAUUGUGUCCUUCAUGUAAGUCCCAAUCAUUUUUAAAAUUCAAGCAUGUUGGAUCAUGCUGCUUGAAGACAGAGUUCAUAAAACGCCUAAAGAGCAUCUUUUAGAUAUGCAUAUGUGCCAUUGUGUGUGAAACCGCUUUGAAAUUCUUAGAUGUUCAACACAGAAACUGAUGAAAGAGAAAGAUGUGUGCAUCCACAUGGUUGGGAGAGAAGUAUUAAAAGAAUGCUGCAGCCGGUAUGAAAGGGUUUAAGAUUAUCAAAGAGAUUUAGGAGAAUAAAUUGGCAGGCAGUUCACUGGCGUGAGGGAUUAUGGCGCAAGAAAAGUGUAAAUGUUUAAUGGCUUGCACUCUCUCACUAUUUUUUUUUUUUUUACAUUUAUUUAUUCUUGGAAGGCACUCAUGUGUCUGGCUUUAGUUCCUGAUAAGCCCAAAGGAGAAAGUAGGUUGCAGCCUUUUUUUCCUCAUUCCAAACACUAUCACUUUCUGGAGACAUUUGGAUGGGGGAAGUAAGAGAUUUAAAGCACAAGGCUUAUUAAAGUUAAGCUACUACGUUUUCCAGUGGACUUGAGUGCAAUUCUUAAACCCGUGAUAUAAAAUGGUGUCUGUUUUUCUCUCCGUCCACUUACCCAAGCACAAAAACAAGUUUUUUUGGGCCUGUGUACAGAAAAAUAUGAGAUUUGCAUUUAUCUGGUAAAAAGCAUAAAAUAGGCAAAAGAGCCACUUGACGCAAGUGUUCUCUCUUUUUUUCCCCUAAGUGAUUCCCCCCCUUUGCAGUCAUCUCUUGUUUUGCCUUGAACACUAUUUUCAUGAAGCUUUGAAAAGAAGCCCCCCCUCCUUUUUUUUGCCAAAGCGCAAUGCAAUUCACCCCAGCUUAUCACUAUUCCUGCAGUCCAAGGUUAUGGUAUUUACUAUUUGCAUUAAAUCCACCAAAGACUGCUUUAAAUUUAAAUACAGACUACUGACUUGACUUUGCCUCACAUGUUAUAUAAAAUACUGUGUUCAAAUAAUAUGAAAUUAACUCAACUGAAAUAGCAUUUGCUUAUCAUUAAAAGAGUUUAAAUGUGAUUCUAACCCGAAGUCGGUGUUGUUUUUUGGUGGCAAUCAGAAUAACGUGGGUCUAAUGUAGGUGUUUUGCAUAAUGUGUUCAGUAUGACUUUCAUUUAAGGUUCAACAAUAAACUAUUUAAAAGCAAGUUGUACCUACAGUACUUUACUAUAAUUAAGGAACCAUUAAUCUAUGACGUUGGAUCUCAGUGGAGCAGGUAGCAUUAGCACCUCACAACUUUGGGUUUCCUCACUCUUACCAAAAACAUGGCAGUAUGUGGAUUGGGCAAGAUAAACUCCUAUUUCUGAAUAUAUGUGUGUGUGUGUGUGUGUGUGUGUGUGUG
This is a long non-coding RNA of Ictalurus punctatus (channel catfish), 1965 nucleotides long. Lineage: Eukaryota; Metazoa; Chordata; Actinopteri; Siluriformes; Ictaluridae. The record is from Ensembl.